Long non-coding RNA from Prunus persica (peach), 793 nucleotides. RefSeq lists it as uncharacterized. NCBI's taxonomy places the organism in Eukaryota, Viridiplantae, Streptophyta, Magnoliopsida, Rosales, Rosaceae. The transcript is spliced from 2 exons. The record is from RefSeq and is a predicted model, not a curated record.
ACUUAUUAAUUCCAGUCCUAAAGUCCAGUCGUGCAGCCACCUAAGCAAAUAGUGUGGCCACAAAAUUUAAUUUUUUUACAACUACUGCCAUUAUUAACAAACAGAAAGUAAAGAAUGUUCAUCCAAAUCGCAUAUCUCAGAUACCCAAAAUUGCAGAGAUCCCAAAAGUCAUGCUCCGUCUUUGCCAAUUUUCACUGAUUUUUUGGUUUUUUAACAGGAAUAUCUGUGGGUUUCUUCUAAUAAUUCACAAUUACAGAUGGAAUAACCCCAAAUUGUUGGAUUAUCAGAAACUGCGUUGUCAAUUGACAGUUCCUGUAUGCCAGGGAUGGACGGGUCGAUAGUUGGUAGAUGCCGGUUUGGGUUGAAAACUUAUUCAGUAUUGAUUUUCAAGGAUACCAAGUACGUGGACUUAUGCAGCCAAAUUUGCUCUCAAUUUAAAGAGUUGAAUUCAUGUGAAAUGGAGAUGACAUACGCAAUUGGAAACCACUAAGCAUGUUUAUUACAAGAUGACAUGGAUGUUCGUGUUUUGCACAUGUCUGUAUCCAAUGAAAACAAAAAUUUGGUGGAUAUAGAUAUUGUUAGAGGUGGAGGUACAUUGGAUUUUAUUUGGUGGUCAUCUUGAUGAGAGAAUCCCCUGUGAUUUGGGUUUUCAGUGGAGUUCAUUGUGGAUUGUGGUUGUAUACAUAAUAUAAGGGUGUAGGCUUUUACAUUUUACAGAAUAUGAUUUUAGGUUUUGGACAUUUUAGCGGGGUCCAACAGCUAUGGGUAGUACAUAAAAAUCAUAUUUCUGUCA